GACGAACGCUGGCGGCGUGCCUAAUACAUGCAAGUCGAGCGAGCGAAACUAACAGAUUUACUUCGGUAAUGACGUUAGGAAAGCGAGCGGCGGAUGGGUGAGUAACACGUGGGGAACCUGCCCCAUAGUCUGGGAUACCACUUGGAAACAGGUGCUAAUACCGGAUAAGAAAGCAGAUCGCAUGAUCAGCUUUUAAAAGGCGGCGUAAGCUGUCGCUAUGGGAUGGCCCCGCGGUGCAUUAGCUAGUUGGUAAGGUAAAGGCUUACCAAGGCGAUGAUGCAUAGCCUAGUUGAGAGACUGAUCGGCCACAUUGGGACUGAGACACGGCCCAGACUCCUACGGGAGGCAGCAGUAGGGAAUCUUCCACAAUGGACGCAAGUCUGAUGGAGCAACGCCGCGUGAGUGAAGAAGGUUUUCGGAUCGUAAAGCUCUGUUGUUGGUGAAGAAGGAUAGCGGUAGUAACUGGCCUUUUUUUGACGGUAAUCAACCAGAAAGUCCCGGCUAACUACGUG
Molecule: ribosomal RNA, 512 nt
Filed under: uncultured bacterium
Lineage: Bacteria
Description: partial 16S ribosomal RNA
Rfam family: Bacterial small subunit ribosomal RNA
Source: RNAcentral